GGAUGCGAUCAUACCAGCCCUAACGCACCGGAUCCCAUCAGAACUCCGAAGUUAAGCGUGCUUGGGCAAGAAUAGGACUAGGAUGCACGAACCCCUGGGAAGUCCUCGUGUUGCAUCCC
Capsicum annuum is the source of this 119-nucleotide ribosomal RNA. The record is from RefSeq and is a predicted model, not a curated record. NCBI's taxonomy places the organism in Eukaryota, Viridiplantae, Streptophyta, Magnoliopsida, Solanales, Solanaceae.